UAGAGUUUGAUCCUGGCUCAGAACGAACGCUGGCGGCAGGCUUAACACAUGCAAGUCGAACGCCCCGCAAGGGGAGUGGCAGACGGGUGAGUAACGCGUGGGAAUCUACCGUACCCUACGGAAUAACGCAUGAAACGUGUGCUAAUACCGUAUACGCCCUACGGGGGAAAGAUUUAUCGGGGUAUGAUGAGCCCGCGUUGGAUUAGCUAGUUGGUGGGGUAAAGGCCUACCAAGGCGACGAUCCAUAGCUGGUCUGAGAGGAUGAUCAGCCACAUUGGGACUGAGACACGGCCCAAACUCCUACGGGAGGCAGCAGUGGGGAAUAUUGGACAAUGGGCGCAAGCCUGAUCCAGCCAUGCCGCGUGAGUGAUGAAGGUCUUAGGAUUGUAAAGCUCUUUCACCGAUGAAGAUAAUGACGGUAGUCGGAAAAGAAGCCCCGGCUAACUUCGUGCCAGCAGCCGCGGUAAUA
Molecule: ribosomal RNA, 469 nt
Filed under: uncultured bacterium
Lineage: Bacteria
Description: bacterial SSU rRNA
Rfam family: Bacterial small subunit ribosomal RNA
Source: RNAcentral